Molecule: non-coding RNA, 283 nt
Organism: Otolemur garnettii (small-eared galago)
Lineage: Eukaryota; Metazoa; Chordata; Mammalia; Primates; Galagidae
Source: Rfam
GCUGAUGCGGUGACGCACGCCUGUAGUCCCAGCUACUCAGGAGGCUGAGAUAGGAGGAAGGCUUGAGUCUAGGAGUUGUGGGCUGUAGUGCACUAUGCCUAUCUGGUGUCUGCACUAAGUUUGGCAUCAAUAUGGUGACCUCCCAGGAGCAGGGGGCCACCAGGUUGCCUAAGGAGGGGUGAACUGGCCCAGGUCGGAAUUCCUGUGCUGAUCAGUAGUGGGAUCACACCUAUGAAUAGUCACUGCACUCUAGCCUAGGCAACAUAGCGAGAUCCCGUCUCUA